GAUGAACGCUGGCGGUAUGCUUAACACAUGCAAGUCGAACGGUCACUUCGGUGAUAGUGGCGGACGGGUGAGUAACGCGUGAGAAUCUGUCUUCAGGUCGGGGACAACAGUUAGAAAUGACUGCUAAUACCGGAUGUGCCCUAUGGUGAAAGAUUUAUUGCCUGAAAAAGAGCUCGCGUCAGAUUAGCUAGUAGGUGGUGUAAGAGACUACCUAGGCGACGAUCUGUAGCUGGUCUGAGAGGACGAUCAGCCACACUGGAACUGAGACACGGUCCAGACUCCUACGGGUGGCAGCAGUGGGAAUUUUCCGCAAUGGGCGAAAGCCUGACGGAGCAAUCUCGCGUGAGGGAUGACGGCCUAUGGGGUUGUAAAACCCUCUUUUUUUCAGGGUAGGAAUAAAUGACGUGUACCUGAAGAAUAAGCAUCGGCUAACUCCGUGCCAGCAGCCGCGGUAAU
Molecule: ribosomal RNA, 456 nt
Filed under: uncultured cyanobacterium
Lineage: Bacteria; Bacillati; Cyanobacteriota
Description: bacterial SSU rRNA
Rfam family: Bacterial small subunit ribosomal RNA
Source: RNAcentral